Molecule: ribosomal RNA, 484 nt
Filed under: uncultured bacterium
Lineage: Bacteria
Description: partial 16S ribosomal RNA
Rfam family: Bacterial small subunit ribosomal RNA
Source: RNAcentral
AUUGAACGCUGGCGGCAGGCCUAACACAUGCAAGUCGAGCGGAUGAAGGGAGCUUGCUCCUGGAUUCAGCGGCGGACGGGUGAGUAAUGCCUAGGAAUCUGCCUGGUAGUGGGGGAUAACGUCCGGAAACGGGCGCUAAUACCGCAUACGUCCUGAGGGAGAAAGGGGGGGAUCUUCGGACCUCACGCUAUCAGAUGAGCCUAGGUCGGAUUAGCUAGUUGGUGGGGUAAAGGCCUACCAAGGCGACGAUCCGUAACUGGUCUGAGAGGAUGAUCAGUCACACUGGAACUGAGACACGGUCCAGACUCCUACGGGAGGCAGCAGUGGGGAAUAUUGGACAAUGGGCGAAAGCCUGAUCCAGCCAUGCCGCGUGUGUGAAGAAGGUCUUCGGAUUGUAAAGCUCUUUAAGUUGGGAGGAACGGCAGUAAGUUAAUCCCUUGCUGUUUUGACGUUACCAACAGAAUAAGCACCGGCUAACUUCGUG